UACAGAGGGGGCAAGCGUUGUUCGGAAUUACUGGGCGUAAAGGGCGCGUAGGCGGCUUGAUAAGCGUGCGGUGAAAGCCCGGGGCUCAACCCCGGGUCGGCCGUGCGAACUGUCGAGCUGGAGCACUGUAGAGGCAGGUGGAAUUCCGGGUGUAGCGGUGGAAUGCGUAGAGAUCCGGAAGAACACCGGUGGCGAAGGCGGCCUGCUGGGCAGUGGCUGACGCUGAGGCGCGACAGCGUGGGGAGCAAACAGG
RNAcentral lists this ribosomal RNA (253 nucleotides) under uncultured bacterium. Its description in RNAcentral is "partial 16S ribosomal RNA". It matches the Rfam family "Bacterial small subunit ribosomal RNA", at positions 524 to 776 of the family's 1533-position model. The record is from RNAcentral.